Molecule: long non-coding RNA, 1782 nt
Organism: Vicia villosa (hairy vetch)
Lineage: Eukaryota; Viridiplantae; Streptophyta; Magnoliopsida; Fabales; Fabaceae
Exons: 4
Source: RefSeq, a predicted model, not a curated record
ACAUCCUCUUUCCUCUUCAUAUGCAAAGUAUUUACUGCUUGGAACAUUGAGAAAUCGAUUUUGUGCCUUGGAAACAACCAAAACCACCUUCAUCAAAAUCGAUUUGGGGAAGAGGAAGAAACAAUCCAUUUCACCUCUUCCCCCUCUCCAAAUCACACCCACAUCAAAAACCCUUCACCACAACUUCUAUCAUUUCUCUUCACAAACCAAACCACCCUCACCCUCCAACUUCAACCACAACCAUGAUGUGGGAACGUGAACACGAUGAACACCAUCACCACCACCACACCACCUCAAUAAAACUUCACAGGCUUUCUCUUCUCCCAAUCUGAUUCAUCUCAUCUUCAAUGUCAUCUUCUCCACUCAAAACAUCAUCUUUUCCAUUAAACAAAACAUCAUCUUCUCCGAUUCGUAUUCGGAUUAUCAUGAUUUGUUUUUUGUUCUCUUUGUUGAUCAGAGAAGCUAACUACUACUACUACUACCACCAUGGAUGAACAACAGCGUAAAUGCGCAUCAACAGAGUUGCAUGCACUUGGAGCCGAAGAGGAGAGAGAAAAGCAUGGAUCGAAAUCGGAGCGAGAACAGUUGCUAGGGUUUUUUAUUUUGAAAUCAAUUUGUUUACCUGUUGUUCUUGUUUGUUCUUUAGUUGUUAGGGUUUUUUAUUUCAAAAAUGAUUUGCUUAUUUUUUAUAAAUUGAAACUGUUUUUGUUAUGUUUUUUAAGGUUGAAGUAUUUGGUCCUAAAAUUCAGCAGGUUAUAGGUAAAGAUCAAUCCAAUCAAAUCCUCACUGUUGUUCCUCUCUAUCUCCAAACAAAAACUCGUGCUCCUAAUGAUGCUCCUAAUGAUGCGGCGGACGCCAUGCUCUGAGAAAGCGACUUUAAGAGCUUGGAUACGAACUUAAAGACAACCAAGUUGAGAGUUUGUUUUGGCGUUUCAAAGUUGUGUCUGAGCGAAAGAAGAGGAUUAGUGAUGCUGAUUUCAGAGCAAUGGUAUCAGAUGAAGUUUUUCAGGCGGAGCCUAUAUGGAAGCUAUAAAUUUUUAACAAGCUUUCAAUGUUUUAUAUUGCCAUUUUUCUCAGCAGUGUUGCAAAGCAUUUGGAAUCAGCCAAUACUAUGUUGUCAUUUAUUUGGUGGAUUAUUGGAUUCUACUGGGUAUCAGCUGGUGGUAAAACUUUAUCCCAAGAUUCUCCUCAGCUUUACUGGUUCGGUCCAAAUUGCAGGAGCAGACUGGUUCAUUGAGUCAGUUCUGACUUUGUGAUGCAGGAUCGGUCCAAAUUGUUGUUGUGGUAGAAUGGAUAUUUCGGUUUGCUCGGAUAUUUCGGUUUGCUUCGAUAUUUCUGAAUUUUGAUUAGGUGCCUGGCUAUAAUUGGAUCAUGUACAAAUCAAAAAGGAACAACACUUCACAAAUCGGAAUUUCAUAGAAGCGGUAAGCAAACAUUGAGUUUCUUUGUAGAUCAUAAAAUCCAUUAUAUUUACAAGGUAUAGAAUUGUAUUUUUUCCUUUUUCCAUACUGUGGUGCCACUGGUGAAGCAAUGUGAAGAGGUUAUGGUGCACUUUAAGAUGGAUAACAAGUUGUUUGACACGAGUAAGAAUGUGGAGUUAACAUAUCCAGGGCAGCACAAUGAUGUAGACAUCUAUAUUGAGAGUUAUUGCUCAGCUUAUGGAGUAUCCCCUUUACAAGGCAUGAAUUUGGUUUGAGAGAGGAUGACAGAACAUUUGGUGCUGGUGUAGUAUAGAAAGUGUUGAGCUGAAGUCAUUAAAAACAGUACGACAUCGAUUCGUCG